Molecule: ribosomal RNA, 685 nt
Filed under: uncultured bacterium
Lineage: Bacteria
Description: bacterial SSU rRNA
Rfam family: Bacterial small subunit ribosomal RNA
Source: RNAcentral
GUGACAGGCCUUCGGGCGCUGACGAGUGGCGGACGGGUGAGUAACGCGUGGGAAUCUGCCUAGUAGUGGGGGACAACCUGGGGAAACUCAGGCUAAUACCGCAUACGCCCUACGGGGGAAAGCAGGGGAUCCUCGGACCUUNCGCUAUUAGAUGAGCCUGCGUCGGAUUAGCUUGUUGGUGGGGUAAAGGCCUACCAAGGCGACGAUCCGUAGCUGGUUUGAGAGGACGAUCAGCCACACUGGGACUGAGACACGGCCCAGACUCCUACGGGAGGCAGCAGUGGGGAAUAUUGGACAAUGGGGGCAACCCUGAUCCAGCAAUGCCGCGUGUGUGAAGAAGGCCUGCGGGUUGUAAAGCACUUUCAGAUGGGAAGAAAAGCCUAAGGAUAAUACCCUUGGGUCUUGACGUUACUAUCAGAAGAAGCACCGGCUAACUCUGUGCCAGCAGCCGCGGUAAUACAGAGGGUGCGAGCGUUAAUCGGAAUUACUGGGCGUAAAGCGCGCGUAGGCGGUUUAUUAAGUCAGCUGUGAAAGCCCUGGGCUUAACCUGGGAAUUGCAGUUGAUACUGGUAAGCUAGAGUGUGGUAGAGGGUGGCGGAAUUCCAGGUGUAGCGGUGAAAUGCGUAGAUAUCUGGAGGAACAUCAGUGGCGAAGGCGGCCACCUGGACCAACACUGACGCUGAGG